UACGUACUCCCUCCGUCCCAAAAAUCUUGUCUUAGAUUUGUCUAGAUAUGGAUGUAUCUAUUAGUGUUAGAUACAUCCGUAUGUAGACAAAUCUAAGACAAGAAUUUUGGGAAGGAGGAAGUACAUG
Triticum aestivum (bread wheat) is the source of this 127-nucleotide non-coding RNA. The record is from Rfam. Lineage: Eukaryota; Viridiplantae; Streptophyta; Magnoliopsida; Poales; Poaceae.